UAUCAGUCUUUAUUUACAUUGUGCAAUCAGUGACAGAUUAUCAGUCUUCGAAAACGACGAAAACUACCCACAGUACAGACUUCUAUACUUAAGAAAUCUGUAGCGAAAACACAUUGAAUGCGUAUUGCGUACUGCGUAGUGGCGACGAAAUGUACAACUAAGAUAAAAGCUGCAUUAACAAGGUCUUAUUUAUUGGCUCGGAAGUUGUUGGAAUUGUAUAUAGUUUUAUAUGCUCUCAGAUAAUAGCAUGUCUAGCUAGAAAUCUGAACUUUAUGAUGCAUAAACAUGACCCAAUACCGUUCAAAAUGAGUAAAACAAUAUCACACACAAAAAUAGUAUGAUACUCCGCAGAUUCAUUUAAACCAGACAUACAAAGAAUUAUGUAUCUUAAAAAAAAAUAUAUCAAC
Molecule: long non-coding RNA, 407 nt
Organism: Rhopalosiphum padi (bird cherry-oat aphid)
Lineage: Eukaryota; Metazoa; Arthropoda; Insecta; Hemiptera; Aphididae
Exons: 3
Source: RefSeq, a predicted model, not a curated record